RNAcentral lists this long non-coding RNA (4543 nucleotides) under Daucus carota (carrot). RNAcentral describes it as "long non-coding RNA (DCAR_LNC004884)". The record is from RNAcentral. Lineage: Eukaryota; Viridiplantae; Streptophyta; Magnoliopsida; Apiales; Apiaceae.
GGUUAUCCUAGUUUGUUUUAAAUACUUCCUUGAUUUUUUACCAAACAGUAAAAAUUAUAAUCGAUUGCCAAACAACACCGUAAUGUAAAUUAGAAUUACCUAGCAACACUUUUACAGUAACUGUUAAUCAAAUCGCUAAGGGUAGUGGAAACACACCACCAUUCAUUUCCCAUAGUUGGAGUCUCUUGUAACCUUAUUUAACUUCAAAUAUUAACCCGGGGUGAUACAACCGAGCUUCCAUUCCAGUUUGGAGAAUCCAAUGUUCGUAAAGCAAGUUUUUCUGCUGUUAACUUCACAUAUAGUAAUAUUAGCAAUCAAAAGUUCCCUCGGAAAACAAGUCAUUAUAACAUGCAUUGAACAUCCAUGCACAUGUUGAGUAGAACGAGUACAAGAAUUAAAAGCAGUUGUAAAUGACAAUAUAUAACAAGUUGUUGAACUUAUAAAGGUUAAAACAUAAGAUGCAAUGAGAGUAUUCCCACUGCAGAGCAUGACCUGAUGAUACAACAAUACUUAUUUAUACUAAUAAAAUUAUAAUAAAUUGGCAUGCCUGAGCUGUGCGCAUUUGGAACUCAUGUCCUAGUUUCCUGUGUUCUCUGUGAGAGAAGGUGGUGGUCCUGGUGGAGCACCAAUGCAACUAAUAUACAUGUUUUUACGACAGGGCCUAGGAGUAGGAUAUGCUGGGAAAGUAAUCGUACGAGGACUAGCGAGGGAUGGAGCAAAGAAAAGAAGCAUAGCUCCAAAAAUGAGGAGGAGCUUCAAGUAGGAGGCGAGAGACAUCUUGAUAAUGUGAGAUUAAUUGUGUGUGUAUUCUCAUGGAGUUUUAUAGGAGUUUUUUCAUGACUAUUCAGCUAGAAUAUUUUUCGAAUUCUCAAUUAUUGUGCUAACAGAUGUAACGGGUCUACGAAAUUUCCACAAAAUCAUUAAAACUUUCCAAUUCUUUUGCUAUUAGAUGUAACAUGUCCGCAAAAUUUCCACAAAACAGAGGAAUGAGUGAUAUUAGUUGGUUCACUUGGGCCUUGGAAUCCACUUGAGUUGAAGCACUGGAUUUUAUUCACCGAAUGGUGAAGUUGGUGACCAUUAGCAACUCACUGUCUCACUCCAUGCGCAUAAUAAAAAAUAUCCCAUGCAUUAUGAGUUUAUGACUAAUGUACCAAGGACUGGUCCUUGAAAAAAAAUUCCGAUGUUUCGAAGAUUUUCAUUAUUAGAAGGUGGCAUCUCUAUAAAUAAGUGUACCCUCGUAGCUCUGUAAAAGAAAAAAAAAAGACGUGUAGCCGUUUGUAUUUAAAUUUAAAAGAUGUUUAUUGUUUAUAAUUAAAGAAAUAUUUAAAAAUCAAAAAUAAUUUUUAAUUUGAAUGAUAUUUUUGAUAUUUAUGACUUAUCGAUUUUCCAAAUAAUUGAUAUAAUAAUAAAAAAUUAGAAACAUAUAUCACUUUAAGUAAUAAAAACAAGUCAACAAAAAAAUUUAAAAAUUUAAAAUUUUCAACUACCCAUAUUCUCAUUUAUAAAUCAAAUACUGACUUAUAAAUUCUGGAUAAAUUAUUUUUGACAUAUAAACCCACAUGAUGACAAACAACACCGUUAUAGUAUUUUCUUCAAAAAAAAAACACCGUUAUAAUAUUAUGAUGACAAACAACACCGUUAUAUUAUGUUUUUAAUAAUUACAUUAAAUAAAUUAUUUAAUGAAAAUCUAGCGAGAAACUUUUUGAAUCAAUAUAUAUUUUAUUGAAGAAUUUUUGGACCUUAUAUCGUUAUAAUUAUAUUUUUUUGUCAAGCAUACAGAAACCACCAUUUUAAUAGAGAAUCUCUGGCAGAUGCUCCAAGCUUCUACUAAAACAAAUGACCGCUGCGUUAUAAUGACAUUCAGGGCACCAAUGAGAACGCAUCGUUAGCUUAAGGGAAUUUAUCGAGCAGUUUGUGUGCAAGCUUAUGAACAAGGUAAAAACUCUGGUCUUAAGCUCUCAUCUCACAAUCUUGCAGCUUAUAUCUGUUAAAAAAUUAGUGUGUAAAAUAUAUUAAGAAUUAGUAUAUUAAAAUAUAUAAACAAAAAUAAAAUAAAACAGAGUGAUGAACAAAAUAGAGUGAAACAAAACAAUAUAUUUACUCCAGAUGAAAAUAUGUUAUAACCCUAAUUAUUACAUUAAAUUAAUAUGUAAAACAAAAUUAAAAGUAAACAUCUAUACUAUACUAUAAUAAGUCAACAUGGGUAUAAUUUGUAGUCCAAGGUUUAAGUUAUAUUUUUUGGUUUGAUACUCUCUUUUUGGUACUACAAGUCUACAAAUAUGGAGUCUAUUAGUCUUACAUUAUUAAACAGUUUCAAAUACUAAAAACACUCAUAACAAUAUAUUAUUAUGUAAUAUUUCAUUAAAAAAAAUUUAAUGAUGUUAUAAGUAUACAAUUUUGAAUAUCUAUUUUUAACAAGAAUCUUCAUAUAACUUUUUUAACUUUAACGUGUUCUAUUUCAAUAUAAACACGAACCAUUACAUAACUCUUUUCAACUCUAAUCUUAAAAGUUAUUGUUGUCAAAAAAACCAAGAUUACAAAAUUACGUUGAAAUUCGAUUGAUUGGAUUACCGGAUCUUUCAAAAGUAUUACACGAUCGGCUAUGUUUGGAAAAGAUUUGAAUUUUCUAAUUUUUUUUAAUUUUUAAAUCUACGUGUACUAAAUUCGGAUUAAAUGUACUAAAAUCCUAAUGUAUAUAUAUUUUUAUUCGGGUUUGUACAUUUUCAAGUAAACGGGAAAAUAUAGUCAGUUGAAUAAUAUAAUUUAAUUAAAAUUCAAUUCAUUAAUACUAAAAUACUAAUAAAAUGAUGUUAAAAUUUAAAUUAUAAUUAAUAAAUUACGAAUUAUAUACCCGCCCGUGCUUUGCACUAGUUAAAGGCUAGUAAGUAUUAAACAUAUACACACACAUAAUAUAUCAUGCAAAUUAUGUUGUUUACUAACAGAAAGAUAGAACUUGUUUCUUAUGAAGUAUUCUGCCCAAAGAAUCCGAUCGACUGUGUCUUUAAAAGCAACUAUGCCUCUCCACCGGUGUUUCAGGGAAAGAUGGAAGUGGCUUCCCAGGAUUGAGCGGAUUAACGUUCUAAGAAUUGUAAGCACUACAGAUUCUUAGACACCAACGAACUAAAAAUUAAGAGAAUUGUAUGUAUUGUGACUAUUAUUUUGUGUUUGUGUAUGUGUUUUCAAUGUGUUUUUAAUGUGGUUUCAAGAUGUGUGUCUAAUAUAUGUGGCCAUCAUAUAUAUAUAUACAUUAUGAAAAGAAACUUGACACCCUUUCAUAUUUCAACAGACACCACUAUUCUUUUAACAGACACCACUAUUCUAAUAAUCACAACCAUUCAAAUUUAUAUUCACUUGAAUUAUAAGAAUAAUAUUACUAUUAUUCUAACAAUAUCUACAUACUUCAUAUACAUACCCACAGUUUGUAUCAUGCUGAUUAAGCACUGUCCGAAUCCUCAGUUUCACUUGUUUAGGUUCGUAGAUUGCAUAUAAACUUGUACACAUGUUUUGACGAAUUAAUUUAUUUUUAUCUGAACUGGAAUCAUAUGCAAUGUAAAUUAGAAUUAGGUAAAAGCUUGGUGCACAUCAUUUCUGUACAAAUAUUUUGUGUACUUUCAUGUAUUUCGUGUACCCAUUCGUGUCGUUUCAUUUCGUGUUAGCAUGUUACGUGUCGAAUUGCCAGUUGUACUUCUAAUAAGACUCCACUACCUUAUCAACUACCCGUUGCAGCUCCUAAAAAUGCUCCAUAUCAGUACUCCGUAGUCACCCAUCCAAACAGUUACCGAUUUAUUUAAAAUAAGUACACAAAACAAAUACUUAAAUAACAAGUUUAAGAUCAAAUUCCAACAUGUAAAGCAAGUUUUUCUGCUGCUAACUUCACAUAUAGUAACAUUAGCAAUCAAAAGUUUGCCUGGAGAAUAAGUAACUAUAGGGUGCAAUGAACAUCCAUGCAUUUUGAUUGGAAUAAGUACUAGUUAAAAGCAGUUGUAAUUUGUAAAUGGUAAAAUAUAACAAGUUCUUAAACUUAUUAAGGUUGAAACAUAAGAUGCAAUGAGAGAGUAUUCCCACUGCAGAGCAUGACCUCAUGAUACAACAAUACUUUUUAUUUAAGGAUGAUACAAUAAUACUUAUCUAUACUAAUAAAAUUAUAAAUUGGCAUGCAUGAGCUGUGCGUAGUUUGAACUGAUGUGCUAGUUUCCUGUGUUCUCUGUGGGAGAAGCUGGUGGAGGAUGAUACCGUGAUGGCACCCCAGGCGGCGCCCUAGGUAUGACGACCGGCCCUGGCUUGAGUGCUGGGUAAGUAACCGGCCGAAUAGCGAGGGAUGGAGCAAUGAAAAGUAGCAUAACUCCAAAAAUGAGGAGCAGCUUCAAGCAGGAGGCGACAGACAUCUUGAUAAUGUGAGAUUGUGUGUGCAUUCUCAUGGAGUAAGGGUGGGGUUUUAUAGGAGUUUUUCCAUGAUGACUAUUCAGCUUGAAGAUUUUUCGAAUUCUUAAUUAUUGUGCUAACAGAUGUAACGGGUCUAAGAAAUUUCCACAAAAUCAUUAAA